AGUGAACGCUGGCGGUAGGCCUAACACGUGCAAGUCGAACGGCAGCACAGUAAGAGCUUGCUCUUACGGGUGGCGAGUGGCGGACGGGUGAGGAAUACAUCGGAAUCUACUUUUUCGUGGGGGAUAACGUAGGGAAACUUACGCUAAUACCGCAUACGACCUACGGGUGAAAGCAGGGGAUCUUCGGACCUUGCGCGAUUGAAUGAGCCGAUGUCGGAUUAGCUAGUUGGCGGGGUAAAGGCCCACCAAGGCGACGAUCCGUAGCUGGUCUGAGAGGAUGAUCAGCCACAAGGGAAGUGAGACAGGGUCCAGACUCCGACGGGAGGCAGCAGUGGGGAAUAUGGGACAAGGGGCGCAAGCCUGAUCCAGCCAUACCGCGGGGGUGAAGAAGGCCUUCGGGUGGCAAAGCCCUUUUGUGGGGAAAGAAAAGAAGCAGGUUAAUACCCCGCUGUUCUGGCGGUACCCAAAGAAUAAACACCGGCUAACUUCGU
This 491-nucleotide ribosomal RNA is filed under the name uncultured bacterium. Its description in RNAcentral is "partial 16S ribosomal RNA". It matches the Rfam family "Bacterial small subunit ribosomal RNA", at positions 29 to 506 of the family's 1533-position model. The record is from RNAcentral.